CGGGUGAGAGUAGAGUGGCGCACGGGUGAGUAACGCGUGGGAACCUGCCAAGCAGUGGGGAAUAGCCUCGGGAAACUGGGAGUAAUACCGUAUGUGCCCUUCGGGGGAAAGAUUUAUCGCCAAAGGAUUGGCCCGCGUUGGAUUAGGUAGUUGGUGGGGUAAUGGCCUACCAAGCCGACGAUCCAUAGCUGGUUUGAGAGGAUGAUCAGCCACACUGGGACUGAGACACGGCCCAGACUCC
This 241-nucleotide ribosomal RNA is filed under the name uncultured bacterium. RNAcentral describes it as "partial 16S ribosomal RNA". It matches the Rfam family "Bacterial small subunit ribosomal RNA", at positions 81 to 339 of the family's 1533-position model. The record is from RNAcentral.